UGACCUCGGAUCAGUCGUGAGUACCCGCUAAACUUAAGCAUAUCAAUAAGCGGAGGAGAAGAAACUAACGACGAUUGCCUCAGUAACGGCGAGUGAAAAGGGAGGAGCCCAGCGCCGAAGCCUGCGGCUGGUUUGCUGUUAGGCAAUGUGGUGUGUGGGUCGAU
Molecule: non-coding RNA, 164 nt
Filed under: Taenia asiatica
Lineage: Eukaryota; Metazoa; Platyhelminthes; Cestoda; Cyclophyllidea; Taeniidae
Description: Eukaryotic large subunit ribosomal RNA
Rfam family: Eukaryotic large subunit ribosomal RNA
Source: Rfam by way of RNAcentral